AAAAUGCGCGGGCGCGCGAGGCAGCUGCUAUUGAAAAAAUAUGGGUUAACUGCCAAUGAUUAACUCCCGACCUUUUCGCGGCCGUGUUCGCGGGGAUGCGUCGAAAGGUCAUCCGGAUCCUGACGGCGCAGCACGAUCGGCUCUCGACCUUUGCCGAUCGGGAUAUCGUUUAAUAAGCGAGCAGAUAAAUCUUCUCCUGACUGCAUACAUAGCAAUGGAUAUUUAUGGACGGUUUUUAGUUUUCAUUCGGCGCGUACCGGUUAAUUAAUUUAACCGUUAUUUAUUGCCUUUUGGACGUGAACAUAGUGUGCGUGCGUUGUAAUUGAAAUUUGUUGGUUGUGCUAAUUCGCCAACGAGGCGAUAAAUAAUCUCGGUGCGAGAAGGAGAUGAAAAUGUAUGCAACAAUAGUCCACUUUGUCAAGGUAAUUUGCCAGGAAUUACCUUGGUAAUCUCCUGGAACGGAAAUUAAUAAUUUGCAGCACUUUACACUGGAAGAAAAAUUCCAGCGCAGCCUGGCGCGUUUCGAGAAAACUUUGGUGGCGCAGGUUGCGCGUCAGGAAUUACAGAGGGGCUACUGUGAAAGAAACGAGGCGUAAAGUGUGAGCCGCGACGCGACUAUGGACGCCGGCCAAAAUCGGGAGCUUCCGCUCGGGAGAAUCAGAGCGGAAAGGAGCAGAGUGAACUUCAAAUUUCCGACGCCUCAUCCUCGUCGUCCCUCGACUGCACUUUGUUUGCACCGGUCACGCGCUGGAACUUGUAGUUUUGCCUAGCUUUCCUGGACGUCAAUCAACCGAUGCCGACAGUCGGUGCUUUCUUCUGGGAACGGGCUGAACAGUCACCCGUGAUGCAUUUCAAAGAAGCAGUUUUUUUUAAAGAAGUUAUGUAGUUUCCCGGUAGGAAAGCAAUAUCUACUUCGACCAGGAAUCCCCGGUCUUAUCAACGCUUCCAUUGAACGCGAUGUAUACACACAACCGACGGGACAGAUAAGAAACGUAUAUAAAAGCGUCGCAGAUUUUCAAAUUGGACAUACUGCAAAGUAACUUAAAAUCGUCGAAACUACCAGACUACUACUUCACUAACCGGCAAGAUGAGUCAAACUCUUACCUACCUUCUGCUCUUGGUCGUCCUCAUCGCCUGCAUGGCUAACAGCGCCGUUGCAUGGGGAUGCAGCAGCAACAGCGAGUGCGGCUUGUGUAGCUGCACUGGUGGCUACUGCGUCUGCCCCGAUGGAGUCGUCUAGGCAGCAUCCAUUGGGAAGCCUGUUCAUUUUGACUGAUUGAUUUACGUAAUUCGAGAAGGAAAUAUUUGAUCUAUGAAUUUGAUUAAUCGUUGCUGAUGAACUAAAUUCGAAAUAAAUGAUUUUUACUUAAACAAUCUUCUCUAGUCUUGAUUUACCUAUACGUUACAUCCUCCUGUAAUACGCUCAGUGGUAGUAUUAUGUGCAUUUUGGGAACCACGAUGUAGCUAUGUACAAAGGUUUACAUAAUUUUUCCAGAAAUAAAUAUUGGGAAUCCCCGUUCUUAUCAACGACAGGUAUUUAUUGCCCUUGAGUAUUUUUGUUGUACGUGUGAUAAAUAAACACGAAUGACUGUUAGUUAAAGAUACGUAUAAAAGAAUCGCAAUAAAUUUUCAAAGUGGUCACAUUGUAUAGUAGCUUGAAAUCAUCAACUGUAUCAGCUCCACUAACCGCCGAAAUGAGUCGAAUCUGCCUUCUGCUCUUGGUCGUCCUCGUCGUAGCUUGUUUUGUCAGCAAAGCCGUUGAGGCAUCUGACCUCGAUAAUUGCACCACUAACGCUCAUUGCGGACCAUCGUGUUUUUGCGAUAAUGGUCGUUGUUGGUGGGGUUGCGUCCAUAACAGAAAUGGAAGAAAAGAUGUGAUCCAUAAACUUCGUUGAUCUCGUAGUUAGCGUGUCAUGUCCUAUCUUGUCAUUAUUCUCAUUGUACGUUUGUCGAAAUAAAACGAAAACGGCAUAUA
Molecule: RNA transcript, 1975 nt
Organism: Nasonia vitripennis (jewel wasp)
Lineage: Eukaryota; Metazoa; Arthropoda; Insecta; Hymenoptera; Pteromalidae
Exons: 3
Source: RefSeq, a predicted model, not a curated record